This is a long non-coding RNA of Prionailurus viverrinus (fishing cat), 681 nucleotides long. RefSeq lists it as uncharacterized. The record is from RefSeq and is a predicted model, not a curated record. NCBI's taxonomy places the organism in Eukaryota, Metazoa, Chordata, Mammalia, Carnivora, Felidae. The transcript has 3 exons.
UGAGGCUCACUGCCCCCUGGAUGGGCAGUGAGUCAGUGGAUUCCAGAGGCCAGGGUGCGGCCCAGCCCUGGCCCCUGCACCCUUGGGAUACCACACCUGCCCAGAGGGGAAUGGGACCCUCCUACGCUGACCCCACAGCAGACCAGUGCCCUCGGCCCCCUGUGUUGCCUGGAUCUGACUUCCCCUGACUGAAAAGACCUCCCAUUUUCUCCUGAGGACUGAGGCGUCUGCCCUGCACACUGGGGUGGUGGGUGGGAGCCACCCCGAGAAGCCAGCCAUCUUGAGCACAAACCCAGCUACGGAACGGACAUGGCGUGCACGUCCUUGGCAAGGCCCCAAGAAUUCCUGUGCCUCAGUUUCCUGAUCGGAAAAGCAUACGUACACACCGCGUAGCGAUAGGCAUAGUGAGACAAUAGCAGAAAUAAAUCACUCAGCGCAGUAGCGGCUGGAAAACAGGAGCUUUUCCCAUCUCGGCCCCUCUGAAAGGCUUCACCUUCCCUCCCGGAGACCCGCAGAGGAAAAUAAAAAGGCUGGAAGAGUAUGAGCAGGGAAUAAAGGCCCCAGAGCAGACCCCACCCCCCACCCAAGGGAAACACCCGCCUUUCUCUCUCAACCCCCCCCCCCCCCCCCCCCCCCCGGGGCCGGGAAGGGCUGCCCCCGCGGGCUUUAAUUGGGUUCUCC